AGACACGGCCCAGACUCCUACGGGAGGCAGCAGUAGGGAAUCUUCCGCAAUGGACGAAAGUCUGACGGAGCAACGCCGCGUGAGUGAUGAAGGUUUUCGGAUCGUAAAAACUCUGUUGUUAGGGAAGAACAAGUACCGGAGUAACUGCCGGUGCCUUGACGGUACCUAACCAGAAAGCCACGGCUAACUACGUGCCAGCAGCCGCGGUAAUACGUAGGUGGCAAGCGUUGUCCGGAAUUAUUGGGCGUAAAGCGCGCCCCCCCGGUUCCUUAAGUCUGAUGUGAAAGCCCACGGCUUCAACCGUGGGGGGUCAUUGGAAACUGGGGAACUUGAGUGCAGAAGAGAAGAGCGGAAUUCCACGUGUAGCGGUGAAAUGCGUAGAGAUGUGGAGGAACACCAGUGGCGAAGGCGGCUCUUUGGUCUGUAACUGACGCUGAGGCGCGAAAGCGUGGGGAGCAAACAGGAUUAGAUACCCUGGUAGUCCACGCCGUAAAC
RNAcentral lists this ribosomal RNA (495 nucleotides) under uncultured bacterium. RNAcentral describes it as "bacterial SSU rRNA". It matches the Rfam family "Bacterial small subunit ribosomal RNA", at positions 322 to 807 of the family's 1533-position model. The record is from RNAcentral.